CAGGCCUCUCUCAUCUUUUUAAGUGGGAGAGCUUGCACAAUUGGUGGCUGACUAAAUACUUUUUUGCCCCACUGUAUGUUGUCUGUCAAGGGUUAUUUGAACUUGUUUUGUACACUAGAGGGCAUAUGUUGGGGUCAUGGGUCAAGAGUCACUUGUGUACAUACUGUAGGCAGCACAGGUGACCAGGGAGGGUUAGCACAGGUGAGAGGAGAGCACAUGCAGUUCUUACUGUAUCACAGAUAUAGCUUAUAGAAUUACUCUCUCUAUACCUUUUCUAUAGGAAUAUGUGUUUUGGAGCUAUUUAUAUGCACAAUAAAUGGGAAUGUCGCCCAAAAAGAGUGACGUUUGGAAUGCUGAUUUUUGUGGACGUGUUAUGGACAGCUCUUUCCUGUGCCAGUGGCUUUUUGUAGGGAAUUGCCACUACAAAGACUGUAUGCCUACACUUACCGAGCAACUAAAUAUACAUUGUGUAUAGAGUACAGCUUCAGCUGUCUAACUAGAAUGACAAUCUAUUUGUCUAUUUGGCCAAUUCUAAGGAUUUGUCAAACCACACACCGGUUCUGUCUUCCAGCCUUGUCUCAGAGCAUUUCGUAUUAUUCUGUAUGUAAAUCCGAGACACUCCAUCAUAUGUUACGUUUCAUAUGGCAUGUAUUAAUUUGUGGAUGUCCAUCAUCCAUUUUGUAUGAUAUGUUACGAAUUUGCAAAACGUACAAUGCAAUAUGUUACAUAUGGUUACAUAAGCAGAUGCUUGCUUACUUAAGGCAAAAAUGAAAGGUUGGGUGAGAGUAUAACGUGGCUGUCUAGCAACUCAAAUGUUGCAGGUUCAAAUCUCAUCACGGACAACUUAAGCAUUUUACCUAAUUAGCAAAUUUUCAACUACUUACCACUUUUUGGCUAUUUUGCAACUACAUGUUAGCUAUCCCUUCCCCUAACCCAAACCUUAACCCUUUUAGCAAAUGAAUGAUGAAUGAAUGUGAAUCAAUGAUAAUUGAUGAUAAUUAGCUAGCUGACAUUCGGGGGCUUCGUUUCCUAACCCAAAACAACAUGUGUGUUCUCAUAAUAGCUUAUUGUGUAAUUUUUAGGGCACAUGUCUACUACAAAUAUAGCAAGGGCUAUUGGCAGCAAAUAGCAAAACAUAUCUGCAAGUAUUCAGUAACGUACACAGCUGGUUGCAUACUAACGGGGUAAGUGUCACCAGCCUGAAUCUAUUCUGUAGUUACAGUCCUCCUAUUAGUAUAUAAACUGAGUAUACAAAACAGCUCUUUCCGUGACAUAGACUGACCAGGUGAAUCCAGGUGAAAGCUAUGACCCCUUAUUGAUGUGCCUUGUUAAAUCCACUUCAAUCAGUGUAGAUGAAGGAGAUGAGACAUGUUAAGGAAGGAUUUUUAAGCCGCGGGACAAUUGAGACAUGGAUUGUGUGUCUGUGCCUUUCAGAGGGUGGUAUGGGCAAAACAAAAGAUUUUAGUGCCUUUGUUGAACAGGGUAGGCACAGGAGGUUGUUGGCACCUUCAUUGGGGCGAACGGGCUUGUGUUAAUGACUGGAGUGGAAUGGAAUCAAACACAUGGUUUCCAGGUGUUUGAUGCCAAUCCAUUAGCUUCGUUCUGGCCAUUAGUAUGAGCCGCUUUCCCCUCAGCAGCCUCCCGUCAGGGUAUGGUGGUAGGUGCUAGGCACACACCGGUUUGUGUCAAGAGCUGCAACGCUACAGGGUUUUUCACGCUCAACAGUUUCCCAUGGGUAUCAAGAAUGGUCCACCACCCAAAGUACAUCUAGCGAACUAGACACAACUGUGUGCGAAGCUGUCAUCAAGGCAAAGGGUGGCUACUUUGAAGACUCAAAUAUAAAAUAUUUUGAUUUGUUUAACACUUUUUUGGUUACUACAUGAUUCCAUAUGUGUUAUUUCAUAGUGUUUUUGUCUUCACUAUGAUGCUACAAUGUAGAAAAUUGUAAAAUAAAGAAAAGACCUCGAAUGAAUAGGUGUGUCCAAACCUUUGACUGGUAUUAUAUGUUCCCACACCUUACAAGGAACCAAAUGUACUAGCUGGGAAUACUAUUAGUCCUGGAGUUAACCUAACCACUAAUGAUAAUGUAAUCAGUGCUGUGUGUAUAUGUUUGUCUUGUAUGUUGUAAGGAGGUGCAACAUUCCACUGUGCCAAUGGAUUACACCUGGGCCCGAGAGCUGGGUCUGAUAUAGGUACCGAAGUCGGGCUCCUUCAUGACCAGUAUCUGUGACGAGAGGGGCCUGGAGCUGAUCUAUGCUGCCAUGCCUAUCAGCUUUUAAAAUUGAGUUCUCUGACUGAUACAUGGGGCUGUGUAUUCUUCAAACAUGUCAUGGAACUCCUGUCUUAUAUGGGACACCAUACAGAAAGGGAUUUUCCCCAAUGGUGAAAGGGGGGCCUGAGUGAAAACGUUUGGAACCCCUGCUCUAAGCAGAAUUUGGCAGUAUGUCGAACCGGCCUCACAACCGCAGACCAUGUGUAACCUGCCCAGGACAUCCGGCUUCUUCACCUGCGGGAUAGUCUGAGACCAGCCACCCGGACAGCUGAUGAAACUUUGGGUUUGCACAACCAAAUCAUUUCUGUACAAACUGUCAGAAAGCGUCUUAGGGAAGCUCAUCUGCGUGCUCAUUGUCUUCACCAGGGUCUUCACCUGACAGCAGUUUGGGAUUGUAACAGAAUUCAGUGGGGAAAUGCUCACCUUCGAUGGCUUCUGGCACACUGGAGAAGUGUGCGCUUCACGGAUGAAUCCCAGUUUCAACUGUACCAGGCAGAUGGCAGACAGCAUGUAUUGCAUCGUGUGGGUGAGCGGUUUGCUCAUGUCAACGUUGCUAACAGAGUUCCCCAUGGUAAUGGUGGGGUUAUGGUAUGGACAGGCAUAAGCUACGGACAACGAACACAAUCACAUUUUAUCUAUGGCAAUUUAAAUGCACAGAGAUACUGUGACGAGAUCCUGAGGCCCAUUGUCGUACUGUACCAUUCAUCCACCGCCAUCACCUCAUGUUUCAGAAUGAUAAUGCACAGCCCCAUGUCGCAGGGAUCUAUAUACAAUUCCUGAAAGGAAAAUGUUCCAGUUCUUCUAUGGCCUGCAUUUUCACCAGAUAUGUCACCCAUUGAGUAUGCUUGGGAUAAUCUAGUUCUACGUGUACGACAGUGUGUUCCACAGGCCACAAUCAACAGCCUAAUCAACUCUAUAUGAAAGAGAUGUGUCACGCUGCAUGAGGCAAAUGGCUGUCACACCAGAUACUGACUGGUUUUCUGAUCUAUAUUCCCAGUCAUAUGAAAUCCAUAGUUUAGGGCCUAAUGAAUUUAUUUAAAUUGACUGAUUUCCUUAUAUGAACUGUAACUCAGUAAAAUCUUUCAAAUUGUUGCAUGUUGCAUUAAUAUUUUUAUUCAAUGUAGUUGCUUGGUAUAUAACGGCAGCUUACGUUAUAAAUUGUAUCUCAGCCACUUUUUCCCUCAUGUUGGUUAAGUGUGCCUUGAAUUCUAAAUAUAUCAUUGACAUCAAAGCAUCACCACACCUCCUCCUCCAUGCUUCACGGUGAGAACCACACUUGCAGAGAUAAUCCGUUCACCUACUCUGCGUUUCACAAAGACAUGGCGGUUGGAACCAAAAAUCUAAAAUUUGGACUCAUCAGACCAAAGGACAGAUUUCCACUUGGCCCAAGCAAGUCUCUUCUUUCGUGUGGGGGUGCUUUGCUGGUGACACUGUCUGUGAUUUAUUUAGAAUUCAAGGCACACUUAACCAACAUGGCUACCACAGUAUUCUGCAGCGAUACGCCAUCCCAUCUGGUUUGGGCUUAGUGGGACAAUCAUUUGUUUUUCAACAGGACAAUGACCCAAAACUCACCUCCAGGCUGUGUAAGGGCUACUUGACCAAUAAGGAGAUUGAUGGAGUGCUGCAUCAGUUGACCUGGCCUCCACAAUCACUCAACCUCAACCAAUUUGAGAUGUUUUGGGAUGAGUUGGACCGCAGUGAAGGAAAAGCAGCCAACAAGUGCUCAGCAUAUGUGUGGGAACUCCUUCAAGACUGUUGGAAAACCAUUCCUCAUGAAGCUGGUUGAGAGAAUGCCAAAAGUAUGCAAAGUAUGCAAAGAAAAAUAUCAAAUAUAUUUGGACUUGUUUAACACUUUUCUGGUUACUACAUGAUUCAAUAUGUGUUAUUUCAUAGUUUUGAUGUCUUCACUAUUAUUCUACAAUGUAGAAAAUAGUGAAAAUAAAGACAACCCCUUGAAUGAGUAGGUGUGUCCAAACUUUUGACUUGUACUGUAUAUGGUAUAUAUUUUGUGGCAUUAGUUAUACUGUUUUAGAUGUUUAUUAUUGCACUGUUGUACAUGUCUGUUGUUAAACAACCCCAUGUCAUGAUUAGAUAGUGUUUUGAAUGAAACUCUUCAUAUCAGGACUUACACCCACCAGUAUGAUGGCCAACACACCAGGACCCGUUAGGUUUUUCCAUUCGUUAUGACUCUCACUUUAGUCCCUUGGGAAAAUAUUCUACUGAAGUGGUCAACUGGAAAUAUGCUACAUGUAAAUGUUCCUACUCAACUGCUUUAUUUUAUAGGCAACGUUGAUGGAAAAUUGCUUUAUAGCUAUAACACAUGAGUAAAUGGGGAAUUUAUUAACAUUAUUACACAAUUGACAAGGCAAAAUAUAUUCCAGUCCCUCUGCUUUUGGAUUGUGAAUCUUGAAGUUGCGUCUCAGCCAUUCACAGAGCUUUUUUAAAUACUUUUUUUGUUGCUGUAAUUACCAGGCUUUGCACACUUCCUUUGCCCUCAUUAAACAUUUUUAAUGGAUGAGGUUUGAAAUAAA
This is a long non-coding RNA of Oncorhynchus nerka (sockeye salmon), 4803 nucleotides long. RefSeq lists it as uncharacterized. NCBI's taxonomy places the organism in Eukaryota, Metazoa, Chordata, Actinopteri, Salmoniformes, Salmonidae. The record is from RefSeq and is a predicted model, not a curated record. The transcript is spliced from 4 exons.